ACGGGGUGCGUUCGGAUGAAGUUUUCGGACGGAAUCUGGAUGUACCUAGUGGCGAACGGGUGAGUAACACGUGAAUAACCUGCCCUGGAGUGGGGGACAACAGUUGGAAACGACUGCUAAUACCGCAUAAGCCCACAGAGCCGCAUGGCUCAGGGGGAAAAGGAGCAAUUCGCUUCAGGAUGGAUUCGCGUCCAAUUAGCUAGAUGGUGAGGUAACGGCCCACCAUGGCAACGAUUGGUAGCCGGACUGAGAGGUUGAUCGGCCACAUUGGGACUGAGACACGGCCCAGACUCCUACGGGAGGCAGCAGUGGGGAAUAUUGCACAAUGGGGGAAACCCUGAUGCAGCGACGCCGCGUGGAGGAAGAAGGUCUUCGGAUUGUAAACUCCUGUCGUUGGGGACGAUAAUGACGGUACCCAACAAGAAAGCCACGGCUAACUACGUGCCAGCAGCCGCGGUAAAACGUAGGUGGCAAGCGUUGUCCGGAAUUACUGGGUGUAAAGGGAGCGCAGGCGGAAGGACAAGUUGGAAGUGAAACCCACGGGCUCAACCCGUGAACUGCUUUCAAAACUGUUUUUCUUGAGUGGUGUAGAGGUAGGCGG
RNAcentral lists this ribosomal RNA (601 nucleotides) under uncultured bacterium. RNAcentral's name for it is "bacterial SSU rRNA". It matches the Rfam family "Bacterial small subunit ribosomal RNA", at positions 65 to 664 of the family's 1533-position model. The record is from RNAcentral.